GCGGAAGUGGCGGAAUUGGUAGACGCGCUGGAUUUAGGUUCCAGUGCCUUAGGGCGUGAGGGUUCAAGUCCCUUCUUCCGUACGA
RNAcentral lists this transfer RNA (85 nucleotides) under Tessaracoccus sp. OH4464_COT-324. RNAcentral's name for it is "tRNA-Leu". It matches the Rfam family "tRNA". From Rfam's summary of the family: Transfer RNA (tRNA) molecules are approximately 80 nucleotides in length. Their secondary structure includes four short double-helical elements and three loops (D, anti-codon, and T loops). The record is from RNAcentral. Lineage: Bacteria; Bacillati; Actinomycetota; Actinomycetes; Propionibacteriales; Propionibacteriaceae.